Molecule: ribosomal RNA, 243 nt
Filed under: uncultured bacterium
Lineage: Bacteria
Description: partial 16S ribosomal RNA
Rfam family: Bacterial small subunit ribosomal RNA
Source: RNAcentral
GUCCACGCCGUAAACGAUGUCUACUAGCCGUUGGGACUCUUGAAGUCUUAGUGGCGCAGCUAACGCACUAAGUAGACCGCCUGGGGAGUACGGCCGCAAGGUUAAAACUCAAAUGAAUUGACGGGGGCCCGCACAAGCGGUGGAGCAUGUGGUUUAAUUCGAUGCAACGCGAAAAACCUUACCAGGCCUUGACAUCCUGAGAACUUUCUAGAGAUAGAUUGGUGCCUUCGGGAACUCAGUGAC